Molecule: long non-coding RNA, 1285 nt
Organism: Bubalus bubalis (water buffalo)
Lineage: Eukaryota; Metazoa; Chordata; Mammalia; Artiodactyla; Bovidae
Exons: 3
Source: RefSeq, a predicted model, not a curated record
UGGGCUGCCGUCUAUGGGGUCGCACAGAGUCGGACACGACUGAAGUGACCUACCUUACCUUAUGGCCACUCACAGUUCUUCCUGGGGAGAAGUGGAGUCUAUUUCCUUCCUACUGUCUGGGGGACUUGCUUUGACCAAGUCAAUGUGGCAGCAGUGACGCCAUGCCACUUCUGGGCCUGGAAGCUUCUGCUUUCACUGUCUCAGAAUCCAGCCACCACGUAGUAAGGAAAUCCAGGCUUCCCUGGGGGAAGGAGAAACCAGGGGGUGAGAAAAGUCAUGUGGAGGAUGAAAGGCUAUGUGACACAACCUUCUAGGUCCUUCAGGCCACAAGCUGAACGCAGCUGCCUGCAUGUCCAGUCCAUUCCCUGUCUUGUCGGCACCGGGUACUUCUCUUGUCUCGUCCACAUCAGCCGUGUCCAGCCUACCAGAGGAGCAAGAAGAAUCACAAAACCACUGUUAUUUUAAGCCCCAACUUUUCGGAUAGUCUGUUACAUAACAAAAGACAACAGAAAUAGAUCCAUUUGCUUUUUGUCUUCUCUCAAACCUCAAUUUUGACCACAGUGUCUGCAAAGAUAUAUAGCCCCAUCAAAUAGCAGAAAGAAAACUGAUUUAUUCUGGGCCAACCAUGAAUAUCCAGUGAAUCCUUAUUUUCCCCACCAGGUCACUUUGUUUAGUAUCAAAGAUGCCUCAGAAGAGUGCCUGUGGGUCUCUUCCGCCUCUCCGUUCCUUCUCCCGACUCACUCUGCCUCAAAUUCUGGGAUCUUUUUACGCCCACCCUCCCCUGGGAUCCUGCCUCAAUUUUGGAGAAAACGUACAAGGCCUAUGAGUUGCUGACUGUUUUCUAGAAUAUUCUUAACAUUGUGUUCUAAGCAAAGGUGUUAUGUCUUACAGAUUUUUCAGAGGCUACAAGGAAGAAUGAGGGACAGCCCGGCAACAUGUUUGUCACUAUGCCCUUCCUCCAGGACUGCACGCUCCUGGAAUGUGACCACUUUUCAGAGAUGCCGCCAAUCGGAGCCGAGAGCUGGAGCUCAGAGAUGGGGGGAUGCUGAGAGAAUCCAGGAGAGCGCACCACGGCUGGCACAGUGCUCAGCACACAGCAGGCCCUCAAUAUCAGCGUGCUCUGGUCCUGUUGUGUCUGCAGAAGGAGACACACCCUCCUCCCUGCUCGUGACCAUGGAAUCCUGGAUCUCACCACCCAAGCCCAGGAAAGCCACCUGCCCACUGUCAUCCUGAAACCAGUCCCAGACCUGCUUUCUCUCCCCAUCUUGCCUGACAAGCCCUCAGA